GGACCCGUAGCUCAGCGGUAGAGCAUCUGAUUCCAGUUUAAAACUUUCACUUAUAAAGUAAAUAUUAACUGCCUCCAGAAGGUCAUCCGUUCAAAUCGGGUCGGGUUCA
Non-coding RNA from Xylaria longipes, 109 nucleotides. The record is from the annotation of a GenBank genome assembly. Lineage: Eukaryota; Fungi; Ascomycota; Sordariomycetes; Xylariales; Xylariaceae.